GUGCCAGCAGCCGCGGUAAUACGAAGGGGGCGAGCGUUGUUAGGAUUUACUGGGCGUAAAGGGCGCGCAGGCGGCUUUGUUUGUCAGGCGUGAAAGCCCCGGGCUUAACCUGGGAACUGCGCUUGAGACGGCGAGGCUAGAGAUCGGGAGAGGAGAGUGGAAUUCCCAGUGUAGAGGUGAAAUUCGUAGAUAUUGGGAAGAACACCGGUGGCGAAGGCGGCUCUCUGGACCGACACUGACGCUGAGGCGCGAAAGCGUGGGGAGCAAACAGGAUUAGAUACCCUCGUAGUCC
RNAcentral lists this ribosomal RNA (292 nucleotides) under uncultured bacterium. RNAcentral's name for it is "partial 16S ribosomal RNA". It matches the Rfam family "Bacterial small subunit ribosomal RNA", at positions 505 to 796 of the family's 1533-position model. The record is from RNAcentral.